Molecule: ribosomal RNA, 433 nt
Filed under: uncultured bacterium
Lineage: Bacteria
Description: partial 16S ribosomal RNA
Rfam family: Bacterial small subunit ribosomal RNA
Source: RNAcentral
AACGAACGCUGGCGGCAUGCCUAACACAUGCAAGUCGAACGAGACCUUCGGGUCUAGUGGCGCACGGGUGCGUAACGCGUGGGAACCUGCCUUUAGGUUCGGAAUAACUCAGAGAAAUUUGAGCUAAUACCGGAUGAUGUCUUCGGACCAAAGAUUUAUCGCCUUUAGAUGGGCCCGCGUUGGAUUAGCUAGUUGGUGGGGUAAAGGCCUACCAAGGCGACGAUCCAUAGCUGGUCUGAGAGGAUGAUCAGCCACACUGGGACUGAGACACGGCCCAGACUCCUACGGGAGGCAGCAGUGGGGAAUAUUGGACAAUGGGCGAAAGCCUGAUCCAGCAAUGCCGCGUGAGUGAUGAAGGCCUUAGGGUUGUAAAGCUCUUUUACCCGAGAUGAUAAUGACAGUAUCGGGAGAAUAAGCUCAGGCUAACUCCGUG